GAUGAACGCUGGCGGCGUGCCUAAUACAUGCAAGUCGAGCGAACAGACAAGGAGCUUGCUCCUUUGACGUUAGCGGCGGACGGGUGAGUAACACGUGGGUAACCUACCUAUAAGACUGGGAUAACUUCGGGAAACCGGAGCUAAUACCGGAUAAUAUUUCGAACCGCAUGGUUCGAUAGUGAAAGAUGGUUUUGCUAUCACUUGUAGAUGGACCCGCGCCGUAUUAGCUAGUUGGUAAGGUAACGGCUUACCAAGGCGACGAUACGUAGCCGACCUGAGAGGGUGAUCGGCCACACUGGAACUGAGACACGGUCCAGACUCCUACGGGAGGCAGCAGUAGGGAAUCUUCCGCAAUGGGCGAAAGCCUGACGGAGCAACGCCGCGUGAGUGAUGAAGGUCUUCGGAUCGUAAAACUCUGUUAUUAGGGAAGAACAUACGUGUAAGUAACUAUGCACGUCUUGACGGUACCUAAUCAGAAAGCCACGGCUAACUACGUGCCAGCAGCCGCGGUAAUACGUAGGUGGCAAGCGUUAUCCGGAAUUAUUGGGCGUAAAGCGCGCGUAGGCGGUUUUUUAAGUCUGAUGUGAAAGCCCACGGCUCAACCGUGGAGGGUCAUUGGAAACUGUAAAACUUGAGUGCAGAAGAGGAAAGUGGAAUUCCAUGUGUAGCGGUGAAAUGCGCAGAGAUAUGGAGGAACACCAGUGGCGAAGGCGACUUUCUGGUCUGUAACUGACGCUGAUGUGCGAAAGCGUGGGGAUCAAACAGGAUUAGAUACCCUGGUAGUCCACGCCGUAAACGAUGAGUGCUAAGUGUUAGGGGGUUUCCGCCCCUUAGUGCUGCAGCUAACGCAUUAAGCACUCCGCCUGGGGAGUACGACCGCAAGGUUGAAACUCAAAGGAAUUGACGGGGACCCGCACAAGCGGUGGAGCAUGUGGUUUAAUUCGAAGCAACGCGAAGAACCUUACCAAAUCUUGACAUCCUUUGACAACUCUAGAGAUAGAGCCUUCCCCUUCGGGGGACAAAGUGACAGGUGGUGCAUGGUUGUCGUCAGCUCGUGUCGUGAGAUGUUGGGUUAAGUCCCGCAACGAGCGCAACCCUUAAGCUUAGUUGCCAUCAUUAAGUUGGGCACUCUAAGUUGACUGCCGGUGACAAACCGGAGGAAGGUGGGGAUGACGUCAAAUCAUCAUGCCCCUUAUGAUUUGGGCUACACACGUGCUACAAUGGACAAUACAAAGGGCAGCGAAACCGCGAGGUCAAGCAAAUCCCAUAAAGUUGUUCUCAGUUCGGAUUGUAGUCUGCAACUCGACUACAUGAAGCUGGAAUCGCUAGUAAUCGUAGAUCAGCAUGCUACGGUGAAUACGUUCCCGGGUCU
This 1372-nucleotide ribosomal RNA is filed under the name uncultured bacterium. RNAcentral describes it as "bacterial SSU rRNA". It matches the Rfam family "Bacterial small subunit ribosomal RNA", at positions 28 to 1381 of the family's 1533-position model. The record is from RNAcentral.